AUCUGCUCCUGUAAAGAUUACAGCCUGGGAGCCCCUAUGGGACAGUUCUACUCUGUCUUAUGGGGUCAUUAUGAGUCAGAACUGACUUAAGGACAACGGGUGAAUAAUAUUAGUAGUAGCUUCUAGGUUUCUGGUGAAAGUGCUACAGGAUGCUGACCUUGUUCUGGCCUAGUCCUCUCUGCUCUUUCUUUAUUACGUAUGACAGGUCGUUCCUGUAACAUUUGAAUGUCUAAUUCUGUUUUUCUUAGACUUUUCCCCAUCUUCUCUCUCCAAAUACCUAAAUAGGUGAUAUAUGCAUUUUAAACAUCUAGGAAUCGAUUCAGCAAAGUAAACAGUUAAACACACUGUUGAACUGCCUCAGUUGUUAUAACAAGGUUCUUUUCUCACUCUUAGUCUGGCCGAAAGUGAACGUCUCCCCCUCCAAGAAGGGACCCCUGCAUGCCACAACCUGCUUGUCUGCCACCUGACAGACUUCUAUCCAGGCACCAUUCAAGUUUGGUGGUUCCGGAAUAGACAGGACGAAACAGCUGGGGUUGUGUCCACUGAACUGAUCCGUAAUGGAGACUGGACCUUCCAGAUCCUGGUGAUGCUGGAAAUGACCCCCCAGCAGGGCGACGUCUACACCUGCCACAUGGAGCACUCCAGCCUGGACAGUCCUGUCACCGUGGAGUGGACUGAGUGACUCCCUGCUGGCCCUGCUGUAUCCCACAGCCUACAGAGCAGGGAAUGCUCUGGCUCUCGGGUCCCCUCAUAUUGAAUUCUGUCACUACACGUUGGGGUCACACCACCCUGUGGUUUUCCUAAUCAAUCCCCUGACUGUGGUUCUGAGCUGAGCACAGUGGAGACCUGGUGAUCUUAGCACAUGUGUAUCCCUGACCUGAGGGAUCCUAAGGAAUCUUUCCUUGUUGGAAAAUCUGAGGAAGGCAGUUACCUUCCCUGCUGGCCCCCAGACAUGAGAAAUGACAUCUCCCUUCAGCCUGUGAGCCUGCACUUAAUGGGCUGAUAUGUGGCACAGACGCAAAAAUCGGCAUUUGCAUCCUGGGGAAGACACCACCCUGAAGCCUGGAUCUUUGGGGUGCUUUCCAUACCUGCUUCUUUUCCACACUGGGUCAGGCCUGGCCUUGUUCUCUCCCUUCUCUCUUCACAGUCUAUAGAGGCCCAGUCUGAUUCUGCAUGGAGCAAGACACUGACUGGAGCUGAGGACUUUGUGCAGGGGCUCAUCUUCCUCAUAAUGAGCUUUAUUCUCCAUUUCAAAAGCCAGCAAGGGCUCCUAAAAUGAUCUCAAAGACCACAUGUCCCUUGGAGCAAGUAUUUUUGAUACUUCUGUUUCCAGCAACCUCCAGCCUCCAAAGAGGACAUUACAACUGAAAUGUGCCCCUGACACCAGUUUUUGAGCCUCUGCAUUUUAAUUCAAUGUGCUUGCUCUGUCUCAAGGUCUCCAGCUUAUAGCAUGCCCUUUCCUGAGGAACAUAAAUUACCUAAAUCCAAUAUUAGUGUCUGUCUUUCUUCUUGAGAAGGAGGAGAUGGUCAUUUGCUUGAGGCAUUUGGUGACCACAUUGUCAAUCAUGAUAGGGCCAGUGAAGGGUCUGAGGAUAAGCCAUUGUUUUACCGAGGCACAGAGAAAUAAAC
Trichechus manatus latirostris (Florida manatee) is the source of this 1629-nucleotide long non-coding RNA. RefSeq lists it as uncharacterized. The record is from RefSeq and is a predicted model, not a curated record. The transcript is spliced from 3 exons. Lineage: Eukaryota; Metazoa; Chordata; Mammalia; Sirenia; Trichechidae.